RNAcentral lists this long non-coding RNA (3847 nucleotides) under Homo sapiens (human). RNAcentral's name for it is "HSALNT0345439". The record is from RNAcentral. Lineage: Eukaryota; Metazoa; Chordata; Mammalia; Primates; Hominidae.
AAAGUAGAUAUAUAUAAGAAAAAUGUUUUUGUGACCUGGAUUCACAAAGUCUGGGAUAAUGUUCUUGCUCAACAACUAUUUAAAUUGGGAUUCCCUGAAAGCAGAGCCUGAGACAAAGAUUUGGAUACAAGUAGUUUAUUUGGGAGGUGAUUCCAGGGAGCAUAAACAAGGGUGUGGUCAAAUGAAAUAGAACAGGGAGGAAAGCCAAAAAGUACCUAAUGAGUGGGGGUACACUCAUAGACAACUGAGGCUCCAACCUACUGAAACCUCUGAGAGCCCCACAUCAGAAUUUUCCUCUCAGGUGGCAGGAGACCAAGAGUAGGUAUAUAUCCACCAACCCCAGGUCCUUGUUGCUUGAGGGUUGCUUCUGUGGUAUUGAUUCCACCUGUUGUACUAUGAUCCUUCCACGUGUGCUUUAAUCCCCAGCUCCUCAUUUCUUCUCUAGAGCUAGGUUGAUUACCUUCCUCUUUUUCACUAUUGACUUCACCCUUUCCUUCCACAGUUGUUUCCCCUUUUUACUCUAUGAACAAGCCCAAGUCUAUUAAACCCUAGAAAAUUAAAAUCUCUCUUACUCCUGCCUCUAGUAACUUUCCUAUUUUUCUCUCCAUUUCAACUAUGCUUAUUUUUUAAGAAGACAGUCCACACUCACUGAUUCCACGGUCUCUCUUUCCAUGAACUCCUCAAUUAAAGCCAGUGACUUCUGACUCCUUUACUGCAAUUGCGGCUGCUUACAAGAUGCCACAACACUCCUCAUGGCAGUUUCUCGCUGAAUUCUCAGGCUGCUCCUUCUUCCUCAAAAGUUCUUCUUCCACAGGCUUUUAUAAAACCCAUCCCUCUUAGUUCUCUGGGCAUCCUCCAAGUUUUCCAUCUUUCCUUUAUGGAGUAUUCUUUCCUUUUUGGUCCAUUGAAUGUUAGUGUUUAACAACUCCCAAAUAUUUCAUUCCAGCUAUUACUUCUCUCUGUAACUCCAGAAGUGUUUGUCCAGUAGCCUGUUAGCUCAGACUAAAUUUAUUAUAGUCUCUUCUCUUCCUCUUCCCUCCCCUUGGGAAGAAAGGCUUGCCUUCGAAAGAAGAUAGUGAGUUGGCAAAACCAGCAUUUACUCACUUCAUUUACCCACUUCAAAAUCUUGGGAUUAUCAGAGAACAUUCCUCCUCCUCAUCCUGCAUUUCCAGUUAGUCAAUAAGUUCUGCUGAUUCUACCUUCUAAAUGGUAAAUUCUCUCCAUCAGCGCCAUUGCUGCUGUCACCUUAAUUCAUGUGUUCAUCACCUUGGCAUAAUCUACUGGUAUCUCUUAGUUGAUCAAUCUGCUCCCAGUUUCUUCCUCAUGCAGACCAUCUGCUACAGAGUAUAAAACAUUAUCUUGAUGCAAAAAAAGACCACAUUACUUCUCUACUUAAAAAGGCUUAGAAGUUCUCCAUCAAGUCAACAAUCAACAAGCUAAAAUCUGAUUUCUUUUAUGUGGUGAUCUAGCUAGUCCCAGUGUCAGUAUCCAGAAGCCGCUCAGGUGGUCCCAAUGGCUAAAGCCAUCAUGAGCCAGCCAACCUGGCAUGUGUGGGUGCUUUGAAAUCAAUGGUUAAAAUCUGAGUGUGGGAAUGGAUCCUGAGACCUUGUAGCCCUAAGUCAGUAUUGGCACAGAGCCUUCUCUGUAAACUUAAAUUAAGUGUCAACAUUUAGAAGUCACUUACUAUGAGCCAGGUACUCUCUGAACACUUCCUAUGUACUAAUUCAUGUAAUCUCCAGAGUAGCCCUUUGAGAUAUGUAUUAUUAUUUUUAAUUCCCAUUUUCCCAGUGAGGUGACUGAGACAUAAAGAGAGCAAGCAACUUGCUUAACAUCAUAUAUGCCACGAUUUGACUUGAAGUAGACUGUUCUAGAAGCAGGGUCUUAUCCAUUUGCUAUGGGCUUUGUUAGCUUUACACAGAGGCUGUGGGGUUCCCAGGCUUAGAACAUAAUUCCAGCCUGUGCAGGGAUCUAGAUGAAUCAGAGGUGAAGAGUGGAAGAAAGAAGCAGAGUGGAAGCCCAAGCCACUGAUGGCAAUCUGAACUUGGAGCGUAACAUCACCAGGAGAAUCUUUAUCUCCACAUCUUCCCAAUCCUCUAUAGUUCUGUCAUCCAACACACACACAGAUACAGACAUACACACGCACACAUAGACACACACACAAUCCAUGAGAAGCUUUCACCAGAUCAGAAGUGGAAUUAUUGCUGCAGAAGGUAAUGAUGGAUGGCCCCAGACCACAUGAGAAUGUUUUUAAAAAUGACAAAAUAUUGGGAAUAUAACAAACAAGCAAAAAAAUGGGACCCAUCUAGAGAGCCACAUGUGGUCUCUAAUUCCUCCCUGCACUGUGGGUUUGGAAUGAACACUGGCCCCUAAGAACCGAGUUAGCCAUGCCCUGUUCUUCUCUUGAAUAUAAUGGGAGGGGAUGUCAGGGAAAUGGAGAUGUCUCUUCUCACAAUAUCUGCUAAUCAGGAUUGUUCAGGGCCUUGUGCAAUUAAUUUUAGCUUUCAAAAAAGAAAUAAUUUCUCAGAACUCCAUGGUGAGGAAAUAGGUCAUACUCAUUAGCAUAGUCAUAGAGGAAGAACAGUGUUUAAUAAUAGGCCUGGCUGAAAUAGGCUAGCAGUGAAACUAGAAGGGCAAAAUUAUUCUGUUAAUGAAGAAUUAAUGAAGAUUUUCGAGUUUCCUUAGGUAACCCAAGAAGAAAGGUGUGAAAAAGGAAGGAGUGAAUGAGAUAAGAAUGGGGAGGAGGAUGUGAGGAAGGAAUACAUCAAGAUGCCAGGGAGCUGAGCAAGAGGCAGCCAGGGAGAAGUUCUGGGCUAUGGCCAAGGAUCUUUAAAGAGCAAGGAUCUUUAAAUAGUCAGUUUUAAGAUGUUUGGUGCAGCCUAAAUUCCUCUUCCUCUUCCCCUGCCUGAAUCUUCCGUAAGAAUCUACUACACAGAGAUGCCUUGUAUCUGCAGCAUUUUGAGAAGAGGGAAAGAGGCUGUUGCUUUGGGAAUGAUGCAGAGUGGAGAAAAAGAACAGCCAAAAGAGGCUAGACUUGAGAGAAAUUACAGUAAUUCAGUAAAAGCAGGAAAUAAUAGAAAAACAUUGACUCCAAAGAUCCUGGAAGGUGCCAGCAAGUGAGGUUAGGUUUCCCACUGUAGAUGUAAUGGAAACAUGGUUUCCCCACCAACUUCGAGGCUUGAGAGCAUUCAGAAAAAGUUUGGUCAACCUUGUAGGGGAACCAGCCCGCUAUACCACCCGCGGGUUCUCCCCUUCCCAGUGGAGACGAGGGAAUGAGAAAAGAAAUAAAGACAAACACACAAAGUUCAAGAGUUAACAAAAGUGGGUCCAGGGGUCCAUCGCAAUGUGGAAACUGCGACAGCCCUGAGCUCUGGAUUCCACUGAUAUUUACUGAAUAAUCCUUAAAGUCCAACUAAUUGGUUAACAGAACAGGACGUGAAAGCAGACAGCCCGUCAGACCACAGGCCUGUGCAUCAAAGGAGCGGUCCACUCCAAGCACCAUCAGCAGGGCAGCAGAGCUCUCUGCCUCUGGGAACGAGCGAGAGAUAGAAGACUUUCCCCUUAUCCUCAGAGGACUUCUCCUCUUUUACAAGCAACCUCCUGCUGUUCCCUUCUGGGGAAUGGAGCAGGGGUCGCUUCCCUUCCCACAAGACCUUUGUUCAGGGACUCAAGUGGGAGGUUGAGCAAUAAGCAAGCUUUCUUGCUUAGAGGCUCCGCACACUUCCUGUGGUUGUUUGUUCCACCCUGCAGUUAGGCAAGCAAGCUCACCGCCUGAUUCUUAUAUUGUCGGACUAAGCAGAAGCUAUUCUUAUGAUUCAUGACUAUAUUAAUAAAGCACUAUUCUAAAGCA